AAUCAACGCUGGCGGCGUGCCUCAGACAUGCAAGUCGAACGAUUAAAGCUCUCUUCGGAGAGUGCAUAAAGUGGCGCACGGGUGAGUAACACGUAAGUAAUCUACCCUCGAGUGGGGAAUAACGUCCGGAAACGGACGCUAAUACCGCAUGAUGCAGCGGCACCGCAAGGUGACAGUUGUUAAAGAUUUAUCGCUUGGGGAGGAGCUUGCGGCAGAUUAGCUAGUGGCAAGGUAAUGGCUUACCAAGGCUACGAUCUGUAACCGGUCUUAGAGGACGGUCGGUCACACUGACACUGAAUAACGGGUCAGACUCCUACGGGAGGCAGCAGUCGGGAAUUUUGGGCAAUGGGCGAAAGCCUGACCCAGCAACGCCGCGUGAAGGAUGAAGUAUUUCGGUAUGUAAACUUCGAAAGAAUAGGAAGAAUAAAUGACGGUACUAUUUAUAGGUCCGGCUAACUACGUGCCAGCAGCCGCCGU
RNAcentral lists this ribosomal RNA (477 nucleotides) under uncultured bacterium. Its description in RNAcentral is "bacterial SSU rRNA". It matches the Rfam family "Bacterial small subunit ribosomal RNA", at positions 32 to 521 of the family's 1533-position model. The record is from RNAcentral.